Paramecium tetraurelia is the source of this 83-nucleotide transfer RNA. It matches the Rfam family "tRNA". From Rfam's summary of the family: Transfer RNA (tRNA) molecules are approximately 80 nucleotides in length. Their secondary structure includes four short double-helical elements and three loops (D, anti-codon, and T loops). Further hydrogen bonds mediate the characteristic L-shaped molecular structure. tRNAs have two regions of fundamental functional importance: the anti-codon, which is responsible for specific mRNA codon recognition, and the 3' end, to which the tRNAs corresponding amino acid is attached (by aminoacyl-tRNA synthetases). tRNAs cope with the degeneracy of the genetic code in two manners: having more than one tRNA (with a specific anti-codon) for a particular amino acid; and 'wobble' base-pairing, i.e. permitting non-standard base-pairing at the 3rd anti-codon position. NCBI's taxonomy places the organism in Eukaryota, Ciliophora, Oligohymenophorea, Peniculida, Parameciidae. The record is from Rfam.
GCACACAUGCCCGAGUGGUCUAAGGGGCCGCACUCAAGAUGCGGUGAGUCAUUCUCGCGUGAGUUCAAAUCUCACUGUGUGCA